Molecule: RNA transcript, 1383 nt
Organism: Anoplopoma fimbria (sablefish)
Lineage: Eukaryota; Metazoa; Chordata; Actinopteri; Perciformes; Anoplopomatidae
Exons: 5
Source: RefSeq, a predicted model, not a curated record
GAAGAAGCCGCCGAACACUAACGAAGAAGAAGCUUCCGGAGAACCCGCCAAACUGUGUGUGCGCGCGUAAACAUGGAAACUGUGCGGCGGCGCUCGAAAGUGUGGCUUAACUUCACUAAAAUAAAUGACAAGUCGGCUCGGUGCAACAUUUGCAAAACAAUUAUAUCGUGCAAAGGCGGGUGUACCACCAACAUGAUCAAACAUCUCCGGGGUCAUGGUGUACAGAUAACUGAGUGCCCCGUCUUUGACGCGCUGCGCCGGCCAUCCUCCGUUGCCACUUCCUCCACUGCCUCUACCUCCGCUGCCUCUACCUCCGGCUCCGACCCUCACCCUAGCACCGCACUAUCAGCCAUACGACUUGAAAUUGCAACCGUUAGCCAGGCAGUUACUCCGUUCACCCUAACGUCCAAGGGAAAGAUGUCGGUGCAACAAGUGCAAGAGUGCCACAGAAAGGUUACAGCCUUUAUUGUAAAAAGGUUGCAUCCCUUUUCAGAUGUGGAAUCACCAACAUUUAGGGACAUGGUGAAAGCCAUCAACCCCAAGUACACACCACCUACCAGGGACUACUUGGCAAAUAAAUUAAUACCAUCUUGGUAUGAGGUCGAGAAGUCAAAUGUCAUUACAGAGCUCAGUGACGUCUGCUCUGUUGCACUCACAUGUGAUGGCUGGAGUAGCAUCACACAGGACCAUUACCUCACCAUCACAGCACACUAUAUAGUGGAGGGCAAAAUGCAGCAAAAAGUGCUAAAAACAAAAGCUGUGUACAAAGCACAGACUGGCUGUGUUGUGGCAGAGGAAAUAAGUGAUGUUCUGUCAGAGUUUGGCAUUUCUGGCAAAAUUAAAGCAGUCACUGUAGAUAAUGCUGCCAAUAUGGAUGUGGCUAUUAAGCACCUGCAAUUUGUCAAACUGGGCUGUUUUGCCCACUCACUUAAUUUAGGAGCACAAAGUCUGUACUCCUUAAAUUCAGUGAGUCAGUGGGUGGCCAAGAUCCGAACCAUUGUUGUGUGGAUGAAGAGGUGCUUGAUGGGGAAGGUGGUCCUCCAGGAGAAGCAAGAACUUCUACGCUUGCUCGGCUGACUGAGGAGGAUUUUCGGAAAGCAGAAGACUUCAUCAAGCUCAUGAAACUUUUCUACACUUCCACACUCUGCGUGUCUUCAGAAAAGAGCCCCACAUGUGGACAGAUAUUACCCAUUCUCCAAAAGCUCAAGGCACAUCUGACUGUGAAAGAGGGAGACACAGUGUUUGUAAAAGACCUUAAAAAACAAGUUUGGGGAAACCUAUCUAAGCGCUACCAGAAUGAUGAGACCAGGAACUUUCUCCAAGUGGCCACUGCUUUGGAUCCGCGCUUUAAACACAAGUUGGAGGAUGACACCGUCUGGGACC